GUCGAACGGAUUAUUCUUUAUAGCUUGCUAUGAGAACAAUUAGUGGCAGACGGGUGAGUAAUGCAUAGGAAUCUACCUAGUAGUAUAGGAUAGCCACUAGAAAUGGUGGGUAAUACUGUAUAAUCCCUGCGGGGGAAAGAUUUAUCGCUACAUGAUGAGCCUAUGUUAGAUUAGCUAGUUGGUGGGGUAAUGGCCUACCAAGGCAGUGAUCUAUAGCUGGUCUGAGAGGAUGAUCAGCCACACUGGAACUGAGACACGGUCCAGACUCCUACGGGAGGCAGCAGUGGGGAAUAUUGGACAAUGGGCGCAAGCCUGAUCCAGCUAUGCCGCGUGAGUGAGGAAGGCCUUAGGGUUGUAAAACUCUUUCAGUAGGGAAGAUAAUGACGGUACCUAUA
Molecule: ribosomal RNA, 395 nt
Filed under: Anaplasma phagocytophilum
Lineage: Bacteria; Pseudomonadati; Pseudomonadota; Alphaproteobacteria; Rickettsiales; Anaplasmataceae
Description: bacterial SSU rRNA
Rfam family: Bacterial small subunit ribosomal RNA
Source: RNAcentral